GUGUCCAUUUAUCAUUUAUUAUUGCAUCUGUGACUUUUUAUUGUCCCAAGUUCGUUCUUCCUACAUGCCAGCUCCGAAUCAUCAAUCAAUGAAUUAGUAAUGGGCUCAUUUUUAUUUCUUGUGCAUGAAUCUUAGCGUAAUGGGCUCAUUUUUAUUUCUUGUGCAUGAAUCUUAGCGUGUGUCGAUUUGAUUUUCCAACGAAGAGAUUAGCUGGUCAAUUCCCUCAUCAAAAAGGAGAAGAGGUCAGACUUGCAAAUCUUCAAGAGCUUCAUUUUGUUGGUGUUGGAGUUGGAGUGGGCGUGCAGUGGCUUCCUGUCUGUCAUGAUUAGUCACUCUUUUGGUUGUUGUCUCUUUUCUCAGCAGCCGGUGGCCUAUUUUCGAUGGUGCUUUCAAUAAACGCAUCCACAUCUUCCCCACUUUCGGCGCGUCCGGCUAUUUCCAGCGAUUUGUUACUUAUAUAUUCGGUACAUGCCAUUUUUUGAUCGAGUGCUAUUAUUGUGAUCGACCUAAUCCUAUCUUACAUGUCUCUCUCGAUUUGUGAUUUUAUGAUAUCAUAUCUUGCUCAAUUCAAAUCAAAUUCUCUCAUUUUUCAGAUCUUAACGUUUUUUAAUUAUUUUAUCUUUAAAAAUUUAGAAAUGCCAAUGGCUAUUUUGUGUGUAAUUUUAUUUUUAAUGAAUAUAAAAUGUGAUUUUGUGUGGUUUUAAUUUGAGGUUUAGGUUGAAUUUUCAGGUUGAAGGCUCUGAGGCACCCGAUACUAGCUCAAUCAGUUUCAAUUCCAAUUAGAUAAUAAUUUUCUAGAUUUGCUUUGUGGGUUUUUUAAAUUAGGGCAAAAAAAUGUUAAUGGUUGGUGCUGGUGGUGUUGGAUGUGAGCUCCUCAAGGCUGUUGCUCUCUGGCUUUCGAGAUAUUCGCAUAGGUUGUUUUCUGCAUGGUUAGAACCCAUUACGUUUGGGAAAAUUAGAAGUUAGCUUUGCCGGAAUGCUAUCUUCAUGACGAUGACGAACCUAGACCGACGAAGAGAGAGCUGAUAUAGGCAUUGUGACUCCGGUCUCAUUCCGUGAUAAAGCAUGAACUGCAGUCACUUUUGGGCAAGGAAUAUGUGUUCAAGUUGUCACGGAACAAGUAUAAUACUGUUGAUGGCCGGCGGAAUUAUGGGGUUUCUGCAGUAUACGUCCCUCUGCAAGAGCUAGAAUCUGCUUACGCGGAGAAGUCCCUGCCACAAGUGUAUUUUUUGCCUUUCUAGAUAAUAAAUAUGUGUACUUUCUUGGUUGUCAUGCUCCAGGCUGUCCACGAAUAAGGGGGAAUUUCAGCAGCUGAUGACAACGUGGAUGCUGUCGCCAAUGAACGCAAGAGAAAGCUUGAACCUGAUCUUCAAGAUGCUCUUUAGAGCCGGACCUUGCACAACACUGAAGGCCUUAUUAGGUCCAUCAAUGUUAUAGUGCCAACUUUUUGUGACUGUGCAGGUCAUAAAACAAGACACAUAUAACCAGAACCUGGCUUCUCCUUUUAUUUUUAUCCUGUGACUGACGUUUUGCGAUUGACAAUUUCCCUUAUAUUCUGUGCCUGUUUAGGCUGUCCAAAA
Long non-coding RNA from Daucus carota subsp. sativus, 1580 nucleotides. RefSeq lists it as uncharacterized. The record is from RefSeq and is a predicted model, not a curated record. Lineage: Eukaryota; Viridiplantae; Streptophyta; Magnoliopsida; Apiales; Apiaceae. The transcript is spliced from 4 exons.